Molecule: ribosomal RNA, 669 nt
Filed under: uncultured bacterium
Lineage: Bacteria
Description: bacterial SSU rRNA
Rfam family: Bacterial small subunit ribosomal RNA
Source: RNAcentral
CUCAGGACGAACGCUGGCGGCGUACUUAACACAUGCAAGUCGAACGGGACCAGUGUGCAACUCUGGUUCAGUGGCGGACGGGUGCGUAACACUGUGAGGAACAUGACCUUCGGCGGGGGAUAGCCUGGCCCAACGGCCUGGGUAAUACCGGUACGACCACUCUGGGACAUCCCUAGUGGUGAAAGCAGCAAUGCGCCGAUGGAGUGCCUCGCGGCCUAUCACUAUUGGUGAGGUAACGGUCACCAAGGCGACGACGGUAGCUGGUCUGAGAGGAUGGCCAGCCACACUGGCACUGCGACACGGGCCAACUCCUACGGGAGGCAGCAGUAAGGAAUAUUGCGCAAUGGGCUGAAAGCCUGACGCAGCGACGCCUGCGUGGGGGAUGAAGGUCUUCGGAUUGUAAACCCCUUUCGGGAGGGAAGAUGGAAUGGGGGUAACCCAUUCGGACGGUACCUCCAGAAGCAGCCACGGCUAACUUCGUGCCAGCAGCGCGGUAAUACGAAGGUGGCAAGCGUAUUCGGAUUUACUGGGCGUACAGGAGCGUAGGCGGUUCGGUAGCCCUCUGUGAAAUCUCCAGGUACUGAACAGUCGGAGGGGACUUGCUGGGCUAAGGACGGGAGCAGAGCGCGGAAUUCCCGGUGUAGCGGUGAAUGCGUAAGAUCGGAGGAG